GGCUCAAUGGUCUAGUGGUAUGAUUGUCGCUUUGGGUUUUGCAAUUGUUUGUUGACGCCGCUUUGGCCUCAUCUUACUGCUUGUAACUUGAAAUUUGGAUGUGACAGGUCCCGAGUUCGAUCCUCGGUUGAGCCC
Molecule: non-coding RNA, 135 nt
Organism: Xylona heveae TC161
Lineage: Eukaryota; Fungi; Ascomycota; Xylonomycetes; Xylonales; Xylonaceae
Source: the annotation of a RefSeq genome assembly